Molecule: RNA transcript, 9639 nt
Organism: Cephus cinctus (wheat stem sawfly)
Lineage: Eukaryota; Metazoa; Arthropoda; Insecta; Hymenoptera; Cephidae
Gene: Tnks
Gene name: tankyrase
Exons: 14
Source: RefSeq, a predicted model, not a curated record
AUUCGACAGUAGCAUGAAAAUGGCGGUGUGAAAUGGCAGGACGACGUUCGGUACUGACGAAUGCGGAAUCCCUGUCAGGGUCAGGGGGUGCAGACCCUUUGAGGGAACUCUUCGAAGCCUGCAAAACUGGAGAUCUCGUCAGAGUGAAGAAAUUUAUAACGCCGAAGACGGUUAACGCGAGAGACACGGCCGGACGCAAGUCCACCCCUCUGCACUUCGCAGCUGGAUACGGCAGACGAGAUGUGGUAGAAUUUCUCCUGUCAGCGGGUGCGUCUAUACAGGCUCGUGAUGACGGCGGAUUGCAUCCUCUACAUAACGCCUGUUCCUUUGGUCAUUCCGAUGUUGUAAGACUUCUACUAGAAGCUGGAGCUAAUCCAAACACUCGAGAUAAUUGGAACUACACACCUCUUCACGAAGCAGCUAUAAAAGGUAAAAUAGACGUAUGCAUAGCAUUGCUACAACACGGAGCAGAUGCAAAUAUACGAAACACAGAAGGCAAAACGGCCCUGGAGUUAGCCGAUGCCAUCACGAAACCGGUGUUGACUGGUGAAUACAGAAAGGACGAGCUCCUAGAAGCAGCCAGAUCCGGAAACGAGGAACGACUUCUACAACUGCUAAAUCCUCUUAACGUAAAUUGCCAUGCCAGCGACGGACGGCGGUCGACGCCAUUGCAUUUAGCUGCGGGAUAUAAUCGUUCACGGGUUGUGCAAAUUUUACUUCAAAACGGAGCAGAUGUUCAUGCCAAGGAUAAAGGGGGUCUGGUACCACUUCACAAUGCUUGUUCUUACGGGCACUUCGAAGUGACAGAGGCGCUGCUGAAGCACGGGGCGGCUGUCAAUGCAAGUGAUUUAUGGGCUUUUACACCACUUCAUGAAGCGGCCAGCAAGUCCAGGGCUGAAGUGUGUUCGUUGCUCUUAAGCGAGGGUGCGGAUCCUACGCAAUUGAACUGCCAUAGCAAAAGUGCCAUCGACGUAGCACCCACGCUUGAGUUGCAGGAAAGACUGGCGUACGAGUAUAAAGGACAUUGUCUACUGGACGCCUGCAGGCAGGCUGAUCCUACGAAGCUUAAGAAAUAUCUCUCCCAAGAAGUAGUCAACUUCAAGCAUCCUUAUACAGGCGACACACCCUUGCACUGUGCCGUAGCCACGCCCUAUCCUAAGAGGAAGCAAAUAAUCGAGACUCUAAUAAGGAAGAACGCCGCGCUGAACGAGAAGAAUAAGGACUUCCUGACACCGCUCCACGUCGCGACGGAUCAUUCCCAUUACGACGCCAUGGAUGUUCUACUGAGGCAUAACGCUAAAGUCAAUGCACUUGAUGGUUUGGGGCAGACGGCCUUGCACAGGUGCGCCAGAGAGGACAACGUUCAAGCCUGCAGGAUACUCUUGUCGUACAAUGUGGAUCCUUCCAUAGUCUCUUUGCAAGGAUAUUCCGCAGCGCAGGUCGCUACGGAAAACGUCCUUAAAAUUUUACAAGAUCCACCAAGCGGAACGGAAGACGUGGAAGCUCAACUUUUAGAAGCAAGCAAGGCUGGUGACUUGACGGCAGUAGAGAGAAUCCUUCAGGCUAAUUCGCAUGCUGUAAACUGUCGUGACCUGGACGGUAGGCACUCCACGCCGUUACACUUUGCUGCGGGGUACAAUAGGGUGCCCGUCGUCGAGUAUCUCUUAGCACACGGUGCCGAUGUUCAUGCCAAGGAUAAAGGUGGGCUGGUGCCACUUCACAAUGCCUGUUCCUAUGGUCACUACGAGGUAACGGAACUGCUUGUUAAGCACGGUGCCUCUGUGAAUGUGGCUGACCUAUGGAAAUUUACACCACUGCACGAGGCUGCCGCUAAGGGUAAGUGCGAAAUCGUACGGCUUCUCCUGAGGCACGGUGCGGAUGCUACCAAAAAGAACAGAGACGGAGCGACGCCGUUGGAUCUCGUAAGAGAUGGGGAUCAAGAUGUGGCUGAUCUACUACGAGGAAACAGUGCUCUCCUAGAUGCUGCUAAGAAGGGUAAUCUGGCCAGAGUGCAAAGACUGGUUACACAAGAUAAUAUAAACUGCAGAGAUGCUCAGGGUCGAAACAGUACUCCGUUACACUUGGCUGCUGGAUAUAAUAAUCUCGAAGUGGCGGAAUUCCUACUAGAACGUGGUGCCGACGUAAACGCUCAAGAUAAGGGGGGUUUGAUACCCUUACAUAACGCUUCAAGUUACGGGCAUCUGGACAUUGCGGCUUUGUUAAUAAAAUACAAUACAGUCGUUAAUGCCACUGACAAAUGGGGCUUCACGCCAUUGCACGAAGCUGCGCAGAAGGGUAGAACACAAUUAUGUGCUCUUCUGCUAGCACAUGGAGCAGAUCCCUUCCUGAAGAAUCAAGAAGGUCAAAGUCCUGUCGACUUGGCUAGUGCAGAUGACGUUAGAUGUUUACUUCAAGAUGCCAUGGCAUCCCAACAAGUUGUUCCUUCCGUUCCACCGAGUAGACCACCGAGUAUAGUUGCGGGUGAGUACAAAUUGUUACAAUUUAAUGUCAUUAUUAAGAAUGAAAUUAAAUAUUUACUAUUUACAGUUCCUGUUACUCCACCACCACCAUUGACACAAGAGACCGUCAUAAUGCCUUCCGGCGCUGCUAUGACGCUUUGCGUACCAAUGGCUAGACCUACUUCCUGUCUGAGUCCGAUGCCCUCGAUAGAACCUUGUUCAGAAAGAGAAUCGAAGGAUAUGUGCGAGGAGCGUAGCACCGCCAGUGUCACAACUGUUGCUGGUUUUCUUCAGAGUCUUGGUCUGGAGCAUUUGCUCGAGUUGUUCGAGAGAGAACAGAUCACUCUGGACAUCCUGGCGGAAAUGGGCCAUGAAGACCUUAAACAGGUCGGGAUCUCUGCUUAUGGAUACAGACACAAGCUUAUCAAAGGGAUGGACAAGCUUCUUAGCUCUACGGCAGGAUCCCUCUGGCAACCAUCAAUUAAUCCUGGAACUCUAUUGGUCGAUCUCCUGGCAGAGGACAAGGAAUUCCUGGCCGUUGAGGAGGAGAUGCAGAGCACCGUCAGAGAACACAGAGACAACGGACAUUCCGGUGGCGUCUUUUCUCGCUACAACAUCAUCAGGAUACAAAAAGUGCAAAACCGGAAGCUGUGGGAACGAUACGCCCAUAGAAGACAGGAAGUGGCAGAGGAAGUCGGGGCUGCACCAGCAUCACCUAGUACAACUCCUAGAGCAACUCCUAGUCCAGCUGCACCUCAAGCUAACGAAAGGAUGCUCUUCCACGGUAGCUCUUUCAUAAACGCCAUCGUUCAAAAAGGUUUUGACGAGCGCCAUGCUUAUAUCGGUGGAAUGUUCGGUGCUGGCAUCUAUUUCGCAGAGCACAGUAGUAAAAGUAAUCAAUACGUUUACGGUAUCUGUGGCGGUACCGGAUGUCCAGCACAUAAAGACAGAAGUUGCUAUAUCUGCCACAGGCAUCUGCUACUCUGUCGGGUAACACUCGGUAAAUCGUUCCUGCAAUUCUCAGCGAUGAAGAUGGCACACGCUCCACCAGGACAUCACAGCGUGAUGGGCAGACCAUCUCAAGGUGGUCUAGUGUUCCCUGAAUACGUGGUAUACAGGGGUGAACAGGCGUAUCCCGAGUACCUAAUAACCUAUCAGAUCGUCCGACCCCAGCAGGAAAGCGGAAGUGGCGAGGGUGGUGAAGAUCGGUGAUCGGAAGAGGUUAGCCCCACGGCAAAGCUAUGCCGUCUCUGUUGUUAUCAGAGACGAAGAACCUGUGACGUCAUCUCCUAGGUCCUGGCCAGACAUUUACUCUAUCCAUCCUAUCUCGCAAUGGUUUAUCUAACGCAUCGCACUAGGACUUUCAUCGAAAGCUGUCUAAGCUCUCGUAGGUGUGAGCUACGUGCGGGAUCUGAUUGAUAAGGUAAUCAAGACACUAUGAUUCUCUGAACUGAACUCGGAUACUCGUGCAAGCGAGUCCCAACCUCUCGUAUAUCGAUGAAACUGAAUUCGCGCGUUUUACGUAGAGUAAAGCUACAUGGAAAAGUCACGAGAUGGUUACGUUAUUGCGCGACUAUACUAGGACAAACUGAUCUCUUAUAGAUCGGUAUUUCAAACGAUCUAUGAAUAAACAAAGGCCACGAAGCGAGCAACGAGAAUACCGUUGAGUCAAUUGCUAAGGAAUACGAUAUCUGGUAUUCCUUUUUAUAUCAGCGGUAUACGUAAGUGUGUAUAGAUUAUAAUAACAUAACUGUCUUAAUGGACACUAAACGUUAUAUUAACGAUUAUUACAAAGAGAGACGCUUAAAUUGGCACAAUUCAUUCAAGGUUUCAUUGAUACUCGUUCUAUAGACGUGGCGCUGCGUUCGUGCGAGAUUAAUAUUUUUUCUGUAAAAAAAUGCUCAAAGAAUACCCCGUAAUGUGUCGCCAGAGACACCUUAAAAUAUUAUUUUUUUGGACAAAUGACUAUAAAAUAGCCUAAAAAUCCCCGAUAGUGACGUCAUAGGCAUCUAAAAUAUUUUUAGCGAAGGGGAAACCUACUAAAAAAUAUUUUUUAAGCAGGUCAACAGUGCCAAAUCUUGUAGGAAAAAGGCCAGAAAGCGUUUUCUUCGAGCAUUUGUUACAAAAACCGUUGUAUCUAGCUGCUAACGAAUGAGUGUAAGACUCGUGUGAUUGUUUCACUCGCCUAACGGCCGUGUACAAAAUUUCACACUCGUGUAUUAAACUCAUUCGUACUAGAUAGAUAAAAUACUAGUUUUCUCUCUUCGCUCCUAGCCGGAAAUUUUCUCAUGUAUCAAUCAACCAUUCAUUUCGAAAGACUCGAAUUUUAUUCGAUUUUCGGAAUUUUAUUGAUUGCCAAUAUACCUUGGCACUCCGUCAUUCAUCUCUAAAGGAAAUCAUGGUUACUUUCAUACCAAGUACCAGUUUUGUCAGAUGCGUCUUCGAAUUAAUUGGGAUACAGAAUUUAGUUGUUUAAUUAACCUAACGCGUAUCUAUACGUACAGAUGAUUAUUCAAUGUUAUAUUAAUCUACAGGGUGAACCGAAUGUGCCGGUAUCUCCCUGUAUAUAUUUCUAAUUUCGCAGUAUUACACUUAGAUAUACAAUAUGAGAGUUAUCAUAGCAAUUCGUAUUAUGGUAUCGAUUACCAAUAAUUAAACGAAAUCCGUGAUUUUAUAUUUCUCCCAUCUUCCAUGCGCUUCAUGUAAAAUUUCCAUUAAUCUCGUCGUACGUCGCAGUGCUAUUUCGAAAUAAAAUGACCUGGCAAAUCUGGUGGCUCGUACGAAUUAAAAUUAAAAAGAAAUGGUAUAGUUUAUAAACUAUAAUCUGUCCACGAUAAACAAGUCUGACACGUCCGCGUUCAGUGCGUGCGUGAGUGCGUGUAUCCAUAUACACUACAAUAUAAAGCAAGGGAUAGAUAGUGAGAAAAAAAAUGGCGGAUAAAGUGUUUAAGGCGGACAAAGCGAAUAAAGAUGAAUUGAAGGGAGGAAAAGAAAAGUAAAUACUUGAAAGCCGAUAAUAUUUUUCAGGGCGAUUUUGCGCGCGCCACUAUUAGCUAGUUUAUAGGUGACGGUGGCUUUUAUUUAUGGGUAUUUAGCUUGGAUAAAUAUCUGAUAAAUAAAUGAAUAAGCAGAGUAUACACGGGUGUGUUAUUUUUAAUAAUCGGUCAUUGGACAAAUGUCGAUCGCGUAGUCUUAUCAUUCGGUCACCCUCGGGUACACGUUACACAUAUAUUAUGUAUACAUGCGUUCACACGUAGUCAAGAGUAAACUGUAAAUGAAAUCCUUGGAAUUCUUUUUCCAUGAUUCUCAGUAACCUGAGUGUAUCUUCCCGCUUUUGUUAUCAUUUAAUUAUAAUUUAUUCUACCGCACUGAAUUGUCUCUGCGAUGCCGACCAAGGAUUGACCUUUGACCUUACUAAUCUGAUUCCAUAAAAUCUGAACAUCCUGUACGUUAUUCGGGAUGGAUCUUAUACGUAGAAAAUGCUAGUCCGUCGGUCGGCUUCACGACGCUUGUCCUUCUCACAUGCGUAAUGUAUGCUCGUACGACAUACCAUAUGUGAUACGAUUGUCUGUGGUCAGGGGCAUAUGUUAUUCCGUGAAAAAAAUAACGAGAGUAAUAGACUAUUUCUAAAUCUCAUUGGCAAUAUUUACGUGCACCGAACUAUCUAAGUCAUUGGAAUCAAUCGUGCGAGUAAAUAUGACGUUUUACGUAAUCCCAUGUGUAUAUAUCAUGAUAUGCGUAUUAGCUGGGUGGGUCGUAUGCGGAAAUGCAAGGUUGUUUCACUUGAAAUGCUUGGAAAUUAAGUAUAGUCAAAAACCGAAGUUGCAUUAUAAUCUUUAUCAAAUAAUUAGGAAACUUGCGAUCAGCUUAAAUCAAUAUAAUGACAAUACGAAUAUUUCAGAAUUUUGACGAAUUUUUUUAAAAAUCUUUAUGCGAUCGCUGUUCUUGAUAAUGUCGCUAUUAUUACUGUCGUUGUUCGUAGCGUUACUAUAAAUUAUUCUGGUGUCGCGAUUAAAUGCAGAUUUUUGGCUUCCUAUGCUAUUCUGUAUCCGACGAUGAUCGGAUGUCCUGUUGACAUCCUUUGGACAUCCUAUGGACGUUCUGUGGAUAUUAUAUGUUGUAACCAGACUUAUUCUCGGUACACCUGUGGUAGAUUUAUCGGGAAGACGAUCGUAUGUAAACUUAAGCAUUGUAACGAGGCAAUGUAUCUCCACUGUAUUAACUUAUACAUAUAGUCUAACGUUACGCUAUUGUCACGUAAUAAAAGAAGGAUAUUCCAUAGGAAUAUCGUAGGUCUCAUUUGUCGAUUGGAUAAGUCGUCAACGACAUUUUCAAUGUCAAAGACAAAAGGUCUAGGAUUAUUAUUUAAGCAAUUCUUUACUAUAAUUUACUAAGAACCCAUCUGUGUGAUAUCUUUCUUAAACCUUAACUACAUACGUGCGAUCCGAGUUUUACGUUUAGCCCUCCUGUUCAGUUUGUUUCUACGUAAAUUUUCAAUAAACUAAGGAAAAUCUAUUACAUUAUUAUUAUUUGAUACCAAGUCGAUAAAAUUAUUUAAGAUAAGAGGAGAGCUGCGUAAAACUGUACUUUCACUCUCACGUACCUUAUAUUGUUAAGUGUUCCUAAAGUCGGACCUUUGUAGUUUAGGAUCAAUGAUCAAAUCUUCCUUACUUUGUAAGCGUUAAUUGACCUCUUUAAAACUUUAUAUGAAAUGCUAUUGAUAAAGCGGUCCUUCUAAGGCUCUUCUAGUAAAGGUUAAAAUAACAGUAGAAAAUUUUGAAGUCUUAUCAAACAUUUUAGCAACAUUUUAUUUAUUAUGUUACUCUAUUACUGUAUCUAAUGAUAUAGCUUCAGUUACCAGGUAAGUAAUGAUGUGGUAUUUUUGGUUUAUUUUCCUUUACAAAGAACAACGAAUUUUCUUAGAGUGUAAAAAAAAGUGUUGCACAACGCCGAUGGAUAAAACUUCUAAAUAUAGAAGGGGCUGGCCAAAAAUAUAUACUUAUUACUGCUCUGGUCACGAUAAAGCGAAAACUAUAGAGAUAACUCCAAAGUGUCACCCGAUAAUCAUGGAUAGCACCUCUUAUAUAUCACGCGUAAAAAAAAAGAAUCAAACAAACAAUCCAUGAAACGUUAAAUAACUUUAUAGUGAUACAUAUAGUAUAGAGAAUCUAGUUUUUUUAAUACUUGUGUAUACAAUAGAUAACUCUACGGCACGCUUCAGCUGUCCUAAUCGUACGUAACGAUUAUUUCGAUAUCGAUAUAUCCACGAGUAAACCUAUUCCAUAUGGAAAAAGUAUUAAUGAAGAUGGAAUAAUUAUGAAAAAAAAACUGAGUCAAACAAUUAUAAUAUUAAUAGCCUGAAGGCCGAUAAGGCAGGACAACGCGGAUAAAUAAAAUGAUAUUCGGUAAUUGCGUCGAUUCCGAUAAAAAUACACGUAUAACUUGCCCAGAUAAGGACAAAAAGAGGAAGCUGAAAGAUUGAAAAAACGUAUGACGCAGUAUCGAAGAAAAAUUAUCCCGACGCCCAAAAACGUCAAUCACAUUGCGUGACCAGUAACACCAGUGGUCAAAGUCUCCCUACAUUAUCGACUUGUGCGUGCAUGAUUUUUCCUGGGUUUUUUUCUUUACGAGGCCGUGAGAUUUUGUCGCCAUGAAAAUGGCGAUUCUUUACAAGUACCUGGGAAAGGACGUUAUUCAUUCCGUUGGUAUACUUGACUGUGCGGCCAGUUGGAAGUUGCAUCCUUAGCGAUGGUAUCGUUCUGAACGAUCGACGCCACGAUAAAUUGUCUUACUUCGCGCGAAGAACGCACGGUGUCUGCAUUUUUCUCCUGAUCUUUUUUCUUAACUUAACCUAACCAUUUGUUUUUUCGCGACAUACUGCGUCACGCGAUCGUUCCUAGUUUACUUCUGGUUGUGUGAUUUUGUUUAUUUAGGAUUUACCAAUGCACCGUGGAUAUCAAUAUACUGCCUGUCAGUAUACUCUUGGGGAUGUAGAAACUCGUGGACUAUUUGUUCUACUGAGAAUGAGCAACAGACCGUAAAAUUAUACCUGCCGACGAUGCUGAUGUACCCGAUUGAGUUAAUUGGCAUACUCGCGUGGCGGAUAGAAGAGAUAUCUAUUUUUCUUUUCUUUUUUAAGAAAUAAAAAAAUGUUUAAGUUUAUACGGAAUCUUCAAUGAAAACCGUUUCCUGCUUUUUAAAACAUAUGUAUGUACUGACGUACCGAGCGACGUGAAUUGGUCGAUGUGAUAAUUGCGUGGUGUAAAAUUUAUGCAGGAUAUUUUUUUGCAAACUAAGGGGAACAAACUGACCAGUAUGACGGUAAACAGCAAAGUCAAGAGAAGAUAUUUGGGAAGGCACAAGUAUGGAAGAUAUUUCUUUAUCCGUAUAUAAUUAGGUAAUAAAAAGUCAUUCUGGCUGUAGGUAGAAUGAUCCUUCGCUAAUAUUUAACACUUCCGCCGACAGAGGGGUGCAGGUUCCCUCACACAGUCCUGUCUGUUGGCCUGUGCGAAGGAGAUGCGUAUAAGUUUGUCACUGUUAAACCCUAUUUACCAUGCACAUAGUGGCGGGCUUUCUUGAUAUCUAAUUUCCAGUAAUGUGUACCCCUGUUCAGUGUGGGAGUACUGUAUGGUUUUUUUUUUUAAUAGUUACAAUAAUCAAAAUCAUAAAUUCGAAAUGUACUUACGUAUUGAUUACAGUAUUACAAGAUGUCAUCCAGACGCCAACUUUGUCCCGUAAGUUUUUUUUUUUUCGCAAUAUGUAGCUUUCAAAACGUCAGCAAAAUAAAGGCGUAAUUGGCAGAAACAAAUUUAUAAGCCGAAUCGCAUAGUCGGAUAAGAUAGCUUCUCGUAACCCGGCAUAAAACAUCAGUCGAUAAGGGGAUAAAAGGCGAAAAGAAUAAAAGGGGAAAUCAAACCGAGACGGGCUUGGUGGCAGCCAGCUAAAGCAUCUGCUAUAAGGACAUGGAAAUACGGACAAAGGGCUUAUCAGAGCGUAAUGACGAGGGUUUCGUAUUGCCAACUUGAAAAACUUGAUUUUCUUAUUAUGAGUACGAAGUAAGCAGCCGAGAGAAUUGAAGCUCCGACACAGCGUUACGCAUUGCGAUUCUCGUUCCGUAAGGGCGUGCGCGUAAGACAAUUGUACACAGGUUCGAUAUUAGAUAAUAAAGAGGAUAUAGGUA